CCCUUAGAUGUUCUGGGCUGCACGCGUGCUACAAUGGCGCUUGCAACAAGAUUGCCAACCCGAAAGGGUGAGCGGAUCUUUGAAGUGGCGUCGUGAUCGGGACAGUUGAUUGCAAUUAUUCGACUCGAACGAGGAAUUCCUUGUAAUCGCGAUUCAUCAUAUCGCGCUGAAUACGUCCCUGCCCUUUGUACACACCGCCCGUCGCUCCUACCGAUUGAGCGAUCCGGUGAAUGUUUUGGACUGGUGUCCGCAAGCGUUUCGCUUCGGACGCUGCGAAAUUUUGUAAACCUUAUCGCUUAGAGGAAGGAAAAGUCGUAACA
RNAcentral lists this ribosomal RNA (320 nucleotides) under uncultured eukaryote. Its description in RNAcentral is "partial 18S ribosomal RNA". It matches the Rfam family "Eukaryotic small subunit ribosomal RNA", at positions 1470 to 1796 of the family's 1831-position model. The record is from RNAcentral.